This 320-nucleotide long non-coding RNA is filed under the name Sinocyclocheilus anshuiensis. RNAcentral's name for it is "lncRNA (ENSSANG00000011496.1)". The record is from RNAcentral. Lineage: Eukaryota; Metazoa; Chordata; Actinopteri; Cypriniformes; Cyprinidae.
CUGUUACUGCAGGUUUGUGUUUGGAUACCUGAUGGUGUGUUUUGUCUCUCCUGCGUCUCCAGCACGAUCAGCUUUACACAUGGGCAGCCAUCUGUCAGCCUCCUCCGUCUCUGGAGAGUCUGGAGGGACACCUGAAGAGCCUGUGGCCCCUGACCAGACCCGGAGCCCAGGACCGGCCCCAACCCAAAUACACCGAGGAUGAGCAUCAGGCCAUUGUUUCAGACCUUAAAAAACAACAGGAAGAAGAAAUCCUGCAAAUUGAGGUAUGUCUCAUUUAUCUCUCGAAGGCCCUUAGUUUUUCCCCACAUUAAGGUCUAAAU